RNAcentral lists this ribosomal RNA (254 nucleotides) under uncultured bacterium. RNAcentral's name for it is "partial 16S ribosomal RNA". It matches the Rfam family "Bacterial small subunit ribosomal RNA", at positions 524 to 776 of the family's 1533-position model. The record is from RNAcentral.
UACGAGAGCCUCAGGCGUUAUCCGGAAUUAUUGGGCGUAAAGGGUGUGUAGGCGGUAAUGUUAGUCUCAUGUCAAAGCCUUCGGCCUAACCGAAGAUCCGCAUGGGAAACGGCAUAACUAGGAGGGUGCAAGAGGUGAAUGGAACUCACGGUGUAGGGGUGAAAUCCGUUGAUAUCGUGGGGAACGCCAAAAGCGAAGGCAAUUCACUGGUGCAUACCUGACGCUGAAACACGAAAGCCAGGGUAUCGAAUGGG